AUGUCUUUUUUUUUGUGGACUACCAUGACAUUCCCACUUGAAAAAGACAGACCAUUAAACAUUUUAUUUAUUACUUUUGGCAGUCAGUUUCAGCCAACUGCCUGUGCUUUUUGUUUCAUUUAUAGCAUGACAGAAAGGACAAUGGGGCUGCCGGGCAGGCUCCCACAUUUUGGGAUUCUGCUCUGUGCACAGCUUUUCUGCUGCCAUUUUGGAGGAAGAAAGGGACCUAUGACAAUAGUUACGACAGCAGAUGUGAUUUUUAUGUGGUACCAGCUCUUUCCCACUGCAAAGGAACACUAAGAAAUACAGCAAGCAUGUGGCAGAAUUAGAGAGGAUCCAGUGAAUUACAUCCCUUCUCCCUGGCAAUAUUUGGAGCAAAAUGAGAGACGGAAAACAGAAAAACAAUUAUUCAUUCAUUCCACAAAUAGUUUCUUAACGCUUACUCCUACUUGUCACUCUUAAGGACACUGGUGGUAAAACGGUGAAUGAAACAAAACUAUCUGUGAUCAUGGGAGUUAAUGGUCUGCAGAAGGGGACUAAUGUCAGAUGGGUUGGAGGCCCACUACUCAAAACAGGAUAUGACGCACACUGCCCAGCUUUAACAACUGUGACUAGAUGCCAGUCCCAAGGCAUUGGCUGAUUCAAGCCUGGGUAUGCUUCAGCUUUGGAACCAAGUUCACACUCUGCAGAGAAGACACCGGCCACGCUCAAGAAAGUUCUCCCAUUUCUGGUCAAUGCGUGACUCCCUUAACGGAUUCACCUGAGAUUUGCAGAGAUGGUUUCAGGUCUUCAUCAUGGUAAGAGUAUUCCAAAUACCCAUUCCAUGUGCCCUACCUGGCAAUUUCACUUAUUUCAGAACUAAUAUCCUCUCCUGUUGUGUUUCUGUUGUGUUUCUAAUUCAGCGACAAUAUCCUUUCCUGAAUAGCUACCACAGAUGCUGGUAAAAGACAAAAGAUUUUACUGUUACAAGAAAGAAAGCCUAUUGUUGAAUGUGGCUUUAGACCUGGUGCCAAAAGGGCUUGCUUAGUCUUUACCUGUGAGGCACACAGUCUUAUCUUCACAACCUCAAAUAGUAUGAACAGUUGCAAGGAGGUGUCUUACUGAAGUGUGGAGAAUACAAACUUGGCAGCAGGAAAGUUAGCAAAAUAAAUAUAACCCAGAUUCAGCA
This 1168-nucleotide long non-coding RNA is filed under the name Felis catus (domestic cat). Its description in RNAcentral is "lncRNA (ENSFCAG00000047914.1)". The record is from RNAcentral. Lineage: Eukaryota; Metazoa; Chordata; Mammalia; Carnivora; Felidae.